UUUGUUGUGCAAAAUCAAAAAAUAUUAGCACGAUUCCAUGAGUUCCACACCCCUUAUAAUUGAUGUAUAACAUGUGGUGGGACAAAUCUUAGUGCCUUUCGCCUCAAUCCAUUUAAGCAAUUUUCAUCCCAAAAAACAAGAAAGAUUAUUCAAAUAUCAUCCGUCUUUAUACUUUUUGGUCCUAUUUGCUGUGGAAGAUUGGGCAUGACGUUAAUCUUCGAAAUGAUACACUAAGAUAUUUGAAAUAUAAAGUAUUCAUGAAAAUGGAAACGACGUGAGAAAUUACAGCGAAAGAACCCUUCUGUUGCGUCCUAAUUGGGUGUCGUCGUCUAUAUUGAAAAAGUUAAUGAUGUAAUUUUCCUUUUCUUUUUUGCUACUCAAUCAUGUACUUUUCUUUUCUUACAUGGAAAAGGUAGUCAUGUAUUUGAUGUAACAAAAAGUUAUCUAUUUUU
Molecule: long non-coding RNA, 452 nt
Filed under: Lathyrus oleraceus (garden pea)
Lineage: Eukaryota; Viridiplantae; Streptophyta; Magnoliopsida; Fabales; Fabaceae
Description: Pisum sativum (pea) long non-coding RNA (PSAT_LNC006274)
Source: RNAcentral